RNAcentral lists this ribosomal RNA (551 nucleotides) under uncultured bacterium. RNAcentral's name for it is "partial 16S ribosomal RNA". It matches the Rfam family "Bacterial small subunit ribosomal RNA", at positions 355 to 900 of the family's 1533-position model. The record is from RNAcentral.
UGGGGAAUUUUGGACAAUGGGCGCAAGCCUGAUCCAGCCAUGCCGCGUGCGGGAAGAAGGCCUUCGGGUUGUAAACCGCUUUUGUCAGGGAAGAAAUCUUCUGAGUUAAUACCUCGGGAGGAUGACGGUACCUGAAGAAUAAGCACCGGCUAACUACGUGCCAGCAGCCGCGGUAAUACGUAGGGUGCAAGCGUUAAUCGGAAUUACUGGGCGUAAAGCGUGCGCAGGCGGUUUUGUAAGACAGAGGUGAAAUCCCCGGGCUCAACCUGGGAACUGCCUUUGUGACUGCAAGGCUUGAGUGCGGCAGAGGGGAUGGAAUUCCGCGUGUAGCAGUGAAAUGCGUAGAUAUGCGGAGGAACACCGAUGGCGAAGGCAAUCCCCUGGGCCUGCACUGACGCUCAUGCACGAAAGCGUGGGGAGCAAACAGGAUUAGAUACCCUGGUAGUCCACGCCCUAAACGAUGUCAACUGGUUGUUGGGAAGGUUCCUUCUCAGUAACGUAGCUAACGCGUGAAGUUGACCGCCUGGGGAGUACGGCCGCAAGGUUGAAAC